AAACAUUCAAGCUCUGAAGAAGCUCGCCAUGAAGCAUCCUAGCACAUCCGCACCAAGAGAAAGGGGCGACGCGUUGCGUCAGAUUCAACUUGCAUCGGCAGGCAUAUUACCAGUUUGGAGUCUGUAGUAUUUCCUGUUAAGGUCACGUCAAUUCUUGGCACUAAUAAUCCUUUUUUUGCUUGGCUUGUGCUGCUAUAUUCCAAGAACCUCUAUCCUACCAACGUCAUUUGAGCUGAAGGAUUCGAGAAGCGUCGUGUGUCAAGGCUAUUGUUGCUCUAAGACUACGAACAAUGGAGUCCCAUCCUACAGAUUGUCCUGGAGACAUCUGACGGCAGUUUUGAUGAAGCUACAACAGUCUCCUACAGACCCACAAAUUCUUGGGGAGGGGAAAACGGAAGUUUGGGUUCCUCAUCAAGAUCACUCAAGUGGACAGCGAAGAUAGACACUCAGCCUCACGUAAUGAAAGGAGUUACGCAACACCACGGGCAUCUAACAUCCCAUGCUUCGGGUUACAAUCUCAAGCCCAGCCAGCGGUAGUGGGAAUUCCAAAAGGAAGGUGGGGCUCCUGUAAUGAAAUCUAGCAAUAUAGUUCGACAGAUACAGACAGUGGAAAACUUAAGAAUAGGCAGGGUGGAAUCAACAACAGGUGCAAGAGAAAAUUCGGGCAUAAAAGAUGCAACUUCCUUUUGAGGUGAAGCUCGAGGUUGCGCAUGUGCGGGGUUAAUGGUGACAUCAAUCCACUAUAAUCAAAAUUUUCUAACUAAAAUAAAUUAAUUAGCAUCUGAUUCUAUUUUGUAGGUAAUGAAGUUAGGAUAGAACACUGGCCGUCCUAGCUCAGUUGGUAGAGCUAGAUUGUAGAGCAAAUGGUAGAGCAGAGCGAAAGCGAGUUGGUAGAGCGGAGCGAGGCAGCGCAACGGUGCAGAGGUGCGUGGGCACAUUGGAGCGUAAUGAUGAUGGCAUAGCAGAAUAGGGGAUACAGAUCUGGUGUUACAAUGUCUUUAAGCAUUUAGUUUUCUUUAGAGGAAAAUGUGCAGCAGAGGGAGCUUUUGAACGAUUAGAGGGAGCUUCUGAUUACGUUUUUUGAACGAUUGCAACUCUCUUAUGAUUAGUAGACCAGUUUAGAGCAUUUAGACACAUCGUGUCUGAACAGUAGGAACCAACACCACAACGGAGAUGAAUCCACCAUCAGAACUAGAUAUGAUAAAAUAGAGCAUAGACCAUUCUAAGAGGCCCACAACAAAAGUGAUACAACUAGGCCUCUACUACACACGUAGUAGGAAAAUAGAGAUUCUAUUAUUGAAGCUACCUCAAUCCGAUAGGAAGAAACUAUACAUACAUACCAAGAGCGAUUCUACCACACAGUCAACACACAAAAACAUUGAACAAAUCCAUAGAAAAUGAUAUUAGGAUUGUUGAGACGUAGGAGGAGACGAGAGGAGUCAACCAACAUCUAUUUCUAUAAGAGCGGCCAGUAACAAAGGAGAGAGUACUGGAUUAACUCCAAAUUCUAAGAAUGAGUCUAAUAGAUAGUGCACUGAUACCACCAACAGUACCAAGAACUAGUCUUGAUUGAAAGACAUAUAAAGAGAUUCAGAGGUUGAUUGACAAAGAAACAAAUACCCAACAAAAGCUGGUAGAAUUGGUGCAAGAGAUCUGGAAAUGCAAUUGAAAUACAAAAGCUAAAUCCAAGAAAAAAAAUAAACAAAUUGUAAUGAGCCUAAGAAAAAACAUUAAAAAAGAACACUUGGGUACUAUGUCGCUUUUAACAUAAGCACACACAAUAACAUAGAAUCAACAAGAAUUCAUCAACUAAAAAACCAAGACAUCAAUUUCAUUACUUGGUGUACUCAGCCACAAUCCAUUCUUAAAGCUCCAUGAAAAUAUCCCAUAUAGCUAUAGGUGAGUGGCCU
RNAcentral lists this long non-coding RNA (1910 nucleotides) under Physcomitrium patens. Its description in RNAcentral is "long non-coding RNA (PPAT_LNC002829)". Lineage: Eukaryota; Viridiplantae; Streptophyta; Bryopsida; Funariales; Funariaceae. The record is from RNAcentral.